Molecule: long non-coding RNA, 548 nt
Organism: Lemur catta (Ring-tailed lemur)
Lineage: Eukaryota; Metazoa; Chordata; Mammalia; Primates; Lemuridae
Exons: 6
Source: RefSeq, a predicted model, not a curated record
GCGUGUGAGCCGCAGUUUCUGCUUUGCGGAGGAUUGCAGCUGCUACUGCAGAUUGGCACCUGCCAUUCCCCCCAAACGGUGGGAACCUGCUUUGAGAAGGCGCUGUCCUGCCUUUCUGGUGUCUUUUCGUUUGAAGAGAAUUUAAAAUAACACAUAUGACUUGUGUUAUAUCUCCAUUGGACAACACUGGUCCAGAGUUGUUUAUGAUUCCAGCUCCACAGUGCACUGUUGAAUGCACCAUGGUGAGGUCUCUAUAGAAGACAUAAUUAAUGAUCCACAACACUGUCCCUGGCUUACCCAAGAGUAUUGCCCUGUGGUGGUGUUCAGGAACCAAGACCAGGACUGGAGCCAGAAGGAGGCCUUCUCUUCCAUCUACCCACAGCCACCCUUCUUGUUUCUGAGAUCAAUAUAAGGGCUGCGAUUUUGGAAAGUGACAUAUGGAUGAAAGUGAAUCUGCAUGGACAGAACCUGAUCAUGCCAGAAGGGAGCUGGGCCUUGGAGGAGGAGAUGAGUCAGGAAGACCCAGGAAUACUCAGCUCCUGACCCUU